AUGGCAGCAGCUGGGCCAUCUGCUGGCUCAGGCCCCCUGCAGCCCGUCAUGCCAACUGUAGAUCCAUUUGAAGACAUUAGUAUAAGGACUCAGAGGUUGGUUGAUUUGUUUGCAGUGGAUCCUGGCUGUGAUAAGGAAGUGUUAGCCCUCUCAGGCAGAUUUCUUGGAGACAAUAAAACUCCUGGGGAAACUACAGAAGAGACAUUGACUAGUAUUCUGGAUGUUACUGCCCUGGAUUGCAUUUACAUUGCUGCUGCUGGAGACAAGCAUGAGUCAGCCAGAGGGUGCAAACCUAGUGGUCACAGAGGCUGGAAAGCAAUGUGGACUGUGCUGCUGAGUCAAUGGGUUCCGUGGUACAAGCAAAAGGAUCUCAUCACCCAAGACAGAAUACUGGGUGGGAUGAAAACAUUCAAAGCUCAUGGCUGAACCAAAGGUGCUGCCACACCGCUCAAAAGUGAAGGAUGCCUGCCACAGCACAACUUGACAGGUGGUGCAUAGAUCUGCACCCGGGAUCCAAAUCUGCGAACCCUGAGCCGCCAAAGUGGAAUGUGUGAACUUA
RNAcentral lists this long non-coding RNA (559 nucleotides) under Equus caballus (horse). Its description in RNAcentral is "lncRNA (ENSECAG00000043871.1)". The record is from RNAcentral. Lineage: Eukaryota; Metazoa; Chordata; Mammalia; Perissodactyla; Equidae.